AACGAACGCUAUCGGUAUGCUUAACACAUGCAAGUCGGACGGACUAAUUAGGGCUUGCUCCAAUUAGUUAGUGGCGGGCGGGGGAGUAACAUGUGGGAAUCUGCCCAUCAUUACGGUAUAACUUUUAGAAAUAAAAGCUAAUACCGUAUAUUCUCUACUGUGGAAAGAUUUAUCGCUGUUGGAUGAGCCCCCGUCAGAUUAGGUAGUGGGUGAGGUAACGGCACACCAAGCCGACGAACUGUAGCUGGUCUGAGAGGAUGAUCAGCCACAAUGGGACUGAGACACGGACCAGAAUCCUACGGGAGGCAGCAGUGGGGAAUAUUGGACAAUGGGCGAAAGCCUGAUCCAGCAAUACCGAGUGAGUGAUAAAGGCCCUAGGGUUGUAAAGCUCUUUUAGCAAGGAAGAUAAUGACGUUACUUGCAGAAAAAGCCCCGGCUAACUCCGUG
Molecule: ribosomal RNA, 447 nt
Filed under: uncultured bacterium
Lineage: Bacteria
Description: partial 16S ribosomal RNA
Rfam family: Bacterial small subunit ribosomal RNA
Source: RNAcentral